This 437-nucleotide ribosomal RNA is filed under the name uncultured Acholeplasma sp. RNAcentral's name for it is "bacterial SSU rRNA". It matches the Rfam family "Bacterial small subunit ribosomal RNA", at positions 939 to 1382 of the family's 1533-position model. Lineage: Bacteria; Bacillati; Mycoplasmatota; Mollicutes; Acholeplasmatales; Acholeplasmataceae. The record is from RNAcentral.
AUGUUGUUUAAUUCGAUGAUACGCGAAGAACCUUACCAGGUCUUGACAUCCCCCGCGAUGCUUUAGAGAUAAAGCGGAGGUAUUCGGGGAGACAGGUGGUGCAUGGUUGUCGUCAGCUCGUGUCGUGAGAUGUUGGGUUAAGUCCCGCAACGAGCGCAACCCUAUUGCUAGUUACCAUCAUUAAGUUGGGGACUCUAGCGAGACUGCCAGUGAUAAACUGGAGGAAGGUGGGGAUGACGUCAAAUCAUCAUGCCCCUUAUGACCUGGGCUACAAACGUGAUACAAUGGCUGGAACAAAGGGAUGCGAAGCAGUGAUGUGGAGCGAAACCCAUAAAAGCAGUCUCAGUUCGGAUUGAAGUCUGCAACUCGACUUCAUGAAGUCGGAAUCGCUAGUAAUCGCGGAUCAGAACGCCGCGGUGAAUACGUUCUCGGGGUUU